AGUGAUUUUGUUUAAAUAGCCGCAGUAUUUUGACUGUGCAAAGGUAGCAUAAUAAAUUGUCUUUUAAUUGAAGGCUGGAAUGAAUGAUAGGAUGUGAUAGACGCUGUCUUUAUAAUAGUUGAUUGAAAUUUACUUUUUGAUGAGAAGGUUAAGAUGUAGUUGGUAGACGAGAAGACCCUAUCAAGCUUUACUUGGAUAAUUGUUUUACUUUUUUUAUUUAGUUGGUGGAUUGUAUUCUAAGUUUUGUUGGGGCAAUGUUUGAAUAUAAUAUAAUUUUUUAUUUUUGUUUAUUGUGUGAUCCAUCAUUGGUGAUUGAGAGAUUAAGUUACUGUAGGGAUAACAGCGUAAUUGAUUUGGAGAGUUCAUAUUGGUAAAUUAGAUUGCGACCUCGAUGUUGGUUUAGUGGAUCUUUAGGGUGCAGGAGCUUUAGAAGAG
Molecule: ribosomal RNA, 435 nt
Filed under: Chanbria regalis
Lineage: Eukaryota; Metazoa; Arthropoda; Arachnida; Solifugae; Eremobatidae
Description: partial 16S ribosomal RNA
Rfam family: Bacterial large subunit ribosomal RNA
Source: RNAcentral